Molecule: ribosomal RNA, 237 nt
Filed under: uncultured bacterium
Lineage: Bacteria
Description: partial 16S ribosomal RNA
Rfam family: Bacterial small subunit ribosomal RNA
Source: RNAcentral
ACGGGUGAGUAACACGUAUGCAAUCCACCUGUAACAGGGGGAGUAACCCGGAGAAAUCCGGACUAAUACCCCAUAAUAUGGGCGCUCCGCAUGGAGAGUCCAUUAAAGAGAGCAAUCUUGGUUACAGACGAGCAUGCGCUCCAUUAGCCAGUUGGCGGGGUAACGGCCCACCAAGGCGACGAUGGAUAGGGGUUCUGAGAGGAAGGUCCCCCACAUUGGAACUGAGACACGGUCCAA